This 1206-nucleotide long non-coding RNA is filed under the name Anser cygnoides (Swan goose). RNAcentral's name for it is "lncRNA (ENSACDG00005013317.1)". The record is from RNAcentral. Lineage: Eukaryota; Metazoa; Chordata; Aves; Anseriformes; Anatidae.
AUGGGGACGGGGACGAUGCUCGGGGCCUGGCACCUGGCACGGGGCAGCCGAGGGAGCCCAGCUUCACCCCCCCCCCAUCCCUCUCCGCACCAUUCUUCCCUGGGCUGUGCCCACGCGGGGGCUCGGCCCCCACAGCCCGUGCCCACGAGGACGCAGGGGGCUGUUUGCACCUUGGUGCGGGCGCACGGGGCCGUACGGGGCCGUACGGGGCUGGGCGGGCGGGAGGCUGCUCCGUGGCACCGUGCCACGCGGGUAAAUAUUUUGCUCCAGCCACGGCUCCUGGCCCGCAGCCACCCGCAGCCGUUGGAGCACCGGGAGAUCCGGGGGCUGGAGCCAGCACCCGGCACCCCCCUUCCUCGCUCCGCGCCAGCGCCGCCUUCCUCAGCGCCAACGGCACCGCCUGGCCCCCGGCCCCGGCCGGGACGGCCCCGGUGUCCCGUGGCCGAGGUCCGGCUGCCAGCGGCUGUCCCGUGCGGGGCCGGGGGCAGAGCCCGCCACGUGCAGCGCCGGGCACCGACCGCGUGGGCACGGGGCCGGCCGGGACCUCGCCGGUGGCUGGAGCCGUGCCAGGGGUGGGUGCGUCCCCGCUCCCACGGCCCGGCCAAAGUCACCCGGGUUUUUAUACGUGGAGGUGUGGGAACGGGGGCCGGGCGGAUUCACCCCCCCGCUGCUCUUCGAGGAAGGAAGUUUGGGGUUUGGUGGAAUUUUCCGUGGGGAAACCGGCCGGGGCAGAGCCAGGUACGGCUUGGGGUGGCGGCGCGGUCCCCUGCCUCCGUGACACCCCAGGGCCACGGCUGGUGGCAGCACGGGGCCCCCCAGCACGAGGAGGACGGGACGUUUCGGGGUCCCGUGUCCCCACCGUGCCUGCAGGGUCUGUCCCCCACGGUUGCCCCCCAGGCAGAUCCUGUCCCGGGCUGGCUGUCCCCGUGCCGUGGGGCAGCCCCGAGGCCGUGCCCUGCGUUGUCCCCCCUGCCCGGGCUGCCCCGAUGCCCCCGUUGCCCUGCAGGGAAACUGAGGCACUGGCUACCGGGGACUCCCAUGGCCACCACCAGCCCCGGCCCGGCCCCCACCGCCACCGCGGUUGGGGCCCCCCCGGAGGGGAACGGGUUAAGGGGCCCCCGCGGGCUCGAACCCCCCUCGCGGGCUCCCCGAAGCUCCCCGAGGGCUCAUUAUCCGCGGCCUCGGCCCCCCUGCCCGGGGGGAUGA